CAAUUAGUCCACGCUCAACUUUGACUUAAAAUUGGUCGACUUCUUCUCAAAAUAAGACAAUGUCAAUCUCAAUAAUUUUGAAUUAGUUUAGAAAUUUUAGGAAAUUUUAUUAAAAAAAUGUUCAAUGUUCACACCGGAGAUGCGAAUUUCGUUCAGUUUUGUAUGUCUAUUUACCCCACAGAUUUCGUGUUCGUCUGAUCUCAAAAUUUUGAUUUGUUGUGCUAAAGUUGGUUAACGUUUUUACGUUAUUUUAUUUUUCGUAGUUUUUGUUAAAACUUAUUUUUAAUUAUUUGAAAAGUCUCGUAAUUUUAUACCAAUUAGUUGUUAGAAUCUUUUAUAACAAACGUGCCAAAUGAAGUGAAAUUAAUCAGCCAGUAUUAUUACUGAAAUUUUGUGGUGGAGUAAUUUUUUAUGGGAUUUUUACCACUUGUUGAACUAAAAGACCAUCUGCUAAGCAAAUUCGGCUUGGAUUUUUAGGAGUCUGCAUGAAAUAGUGAUUGGAGUAAUUUUUUAUGGGAUUUUUUUCCACUUGUUGAAUUAAAAGACCAUCUGCUUGGAUUUUUGGAGUGAAAGUCUGCAUGAAAAAGUUUCACAUUUCUAGUUUCACCAACCACUCACUUUCACCGGAAAUAAAAGACGUUGACGACUUCAAGCAAGCAAAAUGACGACACACAAUGAUAACCCUCUUUUGGAACUCUUCUCUAAAUAUUUCGUACUGCUAACUAUUUUUCAUACGGCCUCCUGCCAAACUCCGGAGCAAAAUCGGAGUCACUCCUUCGACUUUGGAGAUUUUCUCGCUAUUGUUAUCAUAAUGGUUUUAAUGUUCGGUGGGGUUUGUGCUUGUCUUGGAAAAUUUGCAAGGGUUCGUUCUGGACAGAUUUGAUAAGAUAAAUUAAUUACUUGGUGAAAAACGAGUCUCUAAAAAAACCUAAGAUCUGCUGACGCGACUGAUUUCUAUUUUAUUGUUUGCACAGUUAAUUUUACAAUAUUUUACAAUUAAUGAAUUCACAUUAUAUACCAACCACAUACCAUAUUUUCUUGACAAUCUUAUACAUAUUUCUAACAAUGUAGUGAUAAGUUAUCACUGAUAAAGGCUAUUAAUACCAAAAAUAUUUAAUAAAAAACUUUUAAAAAAUCA
Molecule: long non-coding RNA, 1138 nt
Organism: Folsomia candida
Lineage: Eukaryota; Metazoa; Arthropoda; Collembola; Entomobryomorpha; Isotomidae
Exons: 3
Source: RefSeq, a predicted model, not a curated record